GGGGCAGAGGAGCCCAGCCCAGGGCACUCUGCGACCUGCCAGGGGCUCUUAGAGAUUCCAGUAGGGGCAGGGCCCUCUGUGUGUGUGUGUGUGUGUGUGUGUGUGUCCCUCCUGUCCCAGGGGACCCAGUCCUGGUCCCCGUGCACUGACCUCGAAUGCUUACAAAGGAGCUGUAGGGGCUGGCACCUGCCUGAGAUAAUCCUAGACAGAAGCCGCACAGGGCGCUAGGGAAUGUGAGUGAGGGGCAGUUGCCGGCUUUGAGACAGAGGUCCCCAGGAGCCCAGGGGCUGGGGUUCUAGCCUGCCAAACCACUCAGUGCAAAGGGGCUCCCUCGCUGGGAAGGGGCCAGCUGCUAUCAGCUGAGGGGUGGGCGUGCCAAGCAGCAUCUCCGAUGCUUUAACUGUGCCACCCCUGCGAAGCAGACACCCGCAUCCCCCUUCCCUCCCCCCCUUGCAAACAGGGUCUGUCAUUCCCAGGGCCCACGGCCGCCUGCUUCAAGGGGGAGAAAUGGCCUGGCCUCUACACACAUGGGCUCUCCCGCGGGCUGGGGGUCGGGGCUUUUGUCUCCAGGCACGCCCGCAGGGCUGCGUGCGACACCGCGGGGGCUCUCUUGGACCCUUUGGCUCCGUAGCCUGUGGCUUUUGGGGACAAAAUUCCAGCUAGGAGCACCGAAGUCACAGGGCCAGAGAAGCGGCGCAGAGGCUUUUCCCUCUCCCCUCUGUCCUUCUCCUCCUCUUCCUCCCCCACUGCCCACCUCUCUUGCCCUCCAACCCUAUGGCCUUCGCUUCUCCCCUUUCCUGUCUCCCCUUGGCUUCGGCUUCACCCUUCACGCUCUCCUCCCUUAGCCGGCAGUCUCCCCCCCACCCCGCGCCCCUCGGCCACCUGCCCCUGCCCUCCCUUCCUCUGCCCUCCUCCCCCCUCCCUCCCCCUUUCUGCUCUGCAGAGUCCCUGUUUCUCCCUCUUCUCUCUCUUCCUUCCCUCCCUCCCUCGAAUUUCCUCUCCGUCCCCUUCCUGCCCCCUCCUCUUCUUCGUUGCCCUCGGGCUCCACCCCGCCUUUCUAGAGCACUGCGCGGCCCCCAGGAUGCUCCAAGAGGCAGAGAGAGGGACUGAUGUGGUGGCGCAGCGGGUUAAGCCGCCACCUGCAACACUGUCAUCCCAUAUGGGAGCACUGGUUCAAGUCCCGGCUGCGCUGCUUCGGAUCCAGCUCCCUACCAGUGUGCCUGGAAAGGAAGAGGAAGAUGGGCCAAGUGCUUAGGUCCCUGCCACCCACGUAGAAGACCUGGAUGGAGUCCCAGGCUCCUGGCUUUUCCCUGGAGGGGAAGGGACCACAAAGCCGGGAGUUCCUCUCAUCCUUUAGGCUGAUUGAUGAGCUGUGCACCUGUGGGUCCCUGUGUCUCUGGUCCUGCCUGGUGGUUCUGGCCACACGUUAAACCAUCAGAAAUGAGUUUUCCCAGGACCUGGAAGACAAAUGUGUGUUUCUUCUCUCAGUGGCACUUUGUCUAGGAGCCACCUGCCCCCCAUUGACCUCAUACAGUGCCCUCCCCAGCCCUUCCAUCUCCGUGGGUGACAGUGCCACCUACAAUGCCUGCCACGCUUUGCACUGUUGCCUCCAUGACUGGACAACUGGAAAGAGUCACGAGGGAUGUGAGUUGACCCUGAAACAAUGGUCCUGUCCUUUGUCAUCCUCUACGAAUGGGAAAGAAGUGACGCCUUCCAAAAUCCCUUCUAAUGCACGCACCCAUGUCCCUAGCUGCCAUUUGCCAAGGCCUCGCUCUGUCCCAGAUUUGGGAGACCUCAUUCCUGCUCUUCUCAGCACCUCUAAAAGACAAGUACCAUUGCCUUCAAUAGAGGAAAACUGAGGCUGAGAGACACUAUGUGACCUCCUGGCUAGGGCCCCACAGAACGUGGGCCUGACCUCCAAACCCCGACUUUCUCCACAUUGUGCCUUCCUGCUGGAGUCCAUGGGGACAUAUGACGUCCACCUGCCAGCACCCUGACUCCCCUCCUCCAAUGAGGCAGAGGCUCUGGGCCUCCCAAGCUUCCUCGCUGCUCUGCCCAUCUUCUCCUGCUCCCUCUCCUUCCCGCUGUUUCAGUGUCUCCAGAUCCAUUUCCAACCCGCCCCUUUAGCUGGGGCAGCCACAGCUGGAAGGGGAGCCAUUGCGAUGGCACAGGGACCCCUCCCAUUCCUGUCUCCCCUUCCCUCCCAGUCCUGACCCAGUCCAUGGUACCCCAACUGGAACAGAAGCAAAGUCUUAGAGCUGAGGACACAGCCAGAACCUGUGUGAGUGUGAGCGGGCACACCUGUAGGAGUGAGUGAGCAAGUGCGCUUGAGCAUGUGAGAAUGUGUGUGCUAGUGAGUGUGCACGCAGGAGUGCGUCCUGUGUGGGGAAGUGUGCAUGUGCAAGCGGGUGAGAGUGAGCACGCUUGUGUGAAAGUGUGUCUGGGGGCAGUGUGCACCUGCAGGUAGCACCGUGUCUAACAGGUGCUACAGCAGAUGCCUCAGCACAUUAGGAAAGAGUUUCCUUCCAGCUUGCUUGACAGGGUACUCCAUUCGCAACGUGAUGUAGCAGCCUAAGGCUGGAGCCAGAGAGCCAGGUAGCAGAGGGGUGUGCCAGCUCCAGCUCCACGGGCUCAGCUUCUCUCCCAGCCACCUUCAGAACUCAGAAGCGCGGGGCGCUGUGGCGUAGUGCUACCUGCAGUGCCGGCAUCCCAUAUGGGCGCCAAUUCGAGUCCUGGCUGCUCCACUUCUGAUCCAGCUCUCUGUUGUGGCCUGGGAAAGCAGUGGAAGAUGGCCCAAGUCCUUGGGCCCCUGCAUCCACAUAGGAGACCCGGAAGAAGCUCCUGGCUCCUAGCUCCUGGCUCCUGGCUCCCGGCUUCAGAUCAGAGUAGCUCCAGCUGUUGUGGCCAACAGGGGGAGUGAACUGGGGAGUGAACCAGUAGAUGGAAGAUUUCUGUCUCUCUCUCUCUCUGCCUCUCCUUCUCUCUCUCUGUAACUCUGACUUUCAAAUAAAUAGUCUUUAAAAAAAAGAGCUCA
Molecule: long non-coding RNA, 3034 nt
Filed under: Oryctolagus cuniculus (rabbit)
Lineage: Eukaryota; Metazoa; Chordata; Mammalia; Lagomorpha; Leporidae
Description: lncRNA (ENSOCUG00000030484.1)
Source: RNAcentral